Molecule: long non-coding RNA, 435 nt
Organism: Passer domesticus (house sparrow)
Lineage: Eukaryota; Metazoa; Chordata; Aves; Passeriformes; Passeridae
Exons: 2
Source: RefSeq, a predicted model, not a curated record
GGGGCUGGCGAGGCAGGGUUCCUUCCCCCUGUGCCCCCACGCGGCCCCGUCCGGCCCUGCCGCAGGCCCGGAGCCGGCGGGGAGCGGAGGAGGCGGUGGGCGCUGCCCCGUGCGCGUCCCUCCGCUCAUCCUCCAUUUAUUCUCGCACAACGCAAGGUGCCCGAGGGAAGAAAUGCUUGAGGCCGCGGCAGGAACAGGCUGGCAACCGGCUGAGCUCCUCAGGGCCUUCAAGAAAGUUUGCCCAGAUUAAGAUCAGAAUUUAUUUAAUUAAUGUAUUUGUUCAUUGUGAUAAGCUGUGAGAUCCAAUAGACCUUUAACUUCCCAGCGCCCGGGUGGAAGCAGACCCAGAGCACCACAGCGGUGACAUUUCCCUUCCUUGUGUCCCCAGCGGUGAAUUUACAGCGAAUAAAGACCCAGCUCUGCAUCCUCGCUGCA